RNAcentral lists this ribosomal RNA (230 nucleotides) under uncultured bacterium. RNAcentral describes it as "partial 16S ribosomal RNA". It matches the Rfam family "Bacterial small subunit ribosomal RNA", at positions 109 to 339 of the family's 1533-position model. The record is from RNAcentral.
CGUAACGCGUAUGCAACCUACCUUCAAUCGGGGAAUACCCCAGAGAAAUUUGGAAUAAUACCCCAUAGUACAACGAAUUCGCAUGUUUUUGUUGUUAAAGUUUAGGCGAUUGAAGAUGGGCAUGCGUGACAUUAGUUUGUUGGUGAGGUAACGGCUCACCAAGACUACGAUGUCUAGGGGUUCUGAGAGGAUGAUCCCCCACACUGGUACUGAGACACGGACCAGACUCC